CCCGCUGAAUUUAAGCAUAUCACUAAGCGGAGGAAAAGAAACUAACCAGGAUUCCCCUAGUAACGGCGAGUGAAGAGGGAUUAGCCCAGCACCGAAGCCUGCGGCAGUUUUGCUGUUAGGCAAUGUGGUGUUUGGGUCGGCUCGUGGGAUUGCCACUCCAUUCGAAGUCCAGCAUUGAGUAUGGUCACUGGAUUUGGCCCAGAGAGGGUGAAAGGCCCGUACGAAUGGAGGUUCAGACAAGUAAGGCAGUUCACCAGGCCGGCCUUAGAGUCGGGUUGUUUGAGAAUGCAGCCCAAAGUGGGUGGUAAACUCCAUCCAAGGCUAAAUACUAGCACGAGUCCGAUAGCGAACAAGUACCGUGAGGGAAAGUUGAAAAGUACUUUGAAGAGAGAGUAAACAGUACGUGAAACCGCAUGCAGGUAAACGGGUGGCGUCAAGCUGCAAGCCCGGAGGAUUCAGCUGGCUAGGAUGUUGUAUAUGCGCCUGGCGCAUCUAUCAGUCGGAGUAGGAUGUGUUAGUCCACUGGGAUACGGUGGGCCCGGCCGCAAGGUUGGGAUAUGUGUACCGGGUGUUUGCCGGAGCAUGCUAUCCAUCUGUUGGACUGUCUAGUCAGUGCACUUUCUCUGUGGUGAACACCACGACCGGUGGUAUUGCCAGUCUGCUGUAGCCAAGUCGUAUUCAGUGGGUUCUUGUAAUCAACUGGGUGCGAUCACAGGCAAACUCAGUAAACGGCGUAGGGGUGUUUCGGCAUCUCUGCGUGUUAUCGGCUACUGGUUGUCAACGGGCCUGCCUGAUGAUUGUUGUAAUCGUCGUCGGGUGGUCUGGUGGGUUAUGGUGGUAUGAAUAACUGUGCAAGGCACCGGAGUUCUCGGCCUCAGAUGCAUCCUGCGCACACAUUACAAGUGGAGCGGGGUGCCAUUGUAGCCUGCCUAAUGUUGGGUCUGAUUGUCGUGUCGCCUGCGAAAAGUGGGCCCGGCAGUGGCCUGAUGUGGGAUGGGUUGCGGAUGGUGCCUCCUGUGUAGGGUGCUGUUGGCCAAAUAGUCAGUGGUGUAGUGGUAGACGAGCUACCCGACCCGUCUUGAAAACACGGACCAAGGAGUUUAACAUGUAUGCAAGUCAAAGGGCCCUACGAAACCCCAAGGCGCAGUGAAAGUAAAGCUUCGACCUGUUCUCGGAGUGAGGUGAGAUCCUGCCGUUACUCGCAUCAGCCUUAUGUCAGCAUCAGGCUAAGAGCGGUGGGCGCAUCACCGGCCCGUCCCAUGAUGUGGUCAUUGGAUUUCUGUAGUCGUUGCUUGCAGCGGCUGUGGAGCCAGUGCGUCAUCGGGGCGGAGCAUGAGCAUACAUGUUGAGACCCGAAAGAUGGUGAACUAUGCUUGCGUAGGUUGAAGCCAGAGGAAACUCUGGUGGAGGACCGCAGCGAUUCUGACGUGCAAAUCGAUCGUCAAACGUGAGUAUAGGGGCGAAAGACUAAUCGAACCAUCUAGUAGCUGGUUCCCUCCGAAGUUUCCCUCAGGAUAGCUGGCGCUCAUUCGCAUGAUCAGUUUUAUCCGGUAAAGCGAAUGAUUAGAGGUACUGGGUUCGAAACGAGCUCAACCUAUUCUCAAACUUUAAAUGGGUGAGAUGCCCGGCUCGCCUAAUAGGAGUCGGGCGUUGAAUGUGUGAGUGCCAAGUGGGCCAUUUUUGGUAAGCAGAACUGGCGCUGUGGGAUGAACCAAACGCUCGGUUAAGGUGCCUAACGCGACGCUCAUGAGAUACCACAAAAGGUGUUGGUUAAUAUAGACAGCAGGACGGUGGCCAUGGAAGUCGGCAUCCGCUAAGGAGUGUGUAACAACU
Molecule: ribosomal RNA, 1833 nt
Filed under: Phyllobothriidea gen n. sp. 3 HR-2018
Lineage: Eukaryota; Metazoa; Platyhelminthes; Cestoda; Phyllobothriidea
Description: LSU rRNA
Rfam family: Eukaryotic large subunit ribosomal RNA
Source: RNAcentral